UACGUAGGGGGCAAGCGUUGUCCGGAAUCAUUGGGCGUAAAGCGCGCGUAGGCGGCCCGGUAAGUCCGCUGUAAAAGUCCAGGGCUCAACCCUGGAAAGCCGGUGGAUACUGUCGGGCUAGAGUCCGGAAGAGGCGAGUGGAAUUCCUGGUGUAGCGGUGGAAUGCGCAGAUAUCAGGAGGAACACCAACGGCGAAAGCACUCUGCUGGGCCGACACUGACACUGAGAGACGAAAGCUAGGGGAGCAAACGGG
RNAcentral lists this ribosomal RNA (253 nucleotides) under uncultured bacterium. RNAcentral describes it as "partial 16S ribosomal RNA". It matches the Rfam family "Bacterial small subunit ribosomal RNA", at positions 524 to 776 of the family's 1533-position model. The record is from RNAcentral.